RNAcentral lists this ribosomal RNA (119 nucleotides) under Pteropus alecto (black flying fox). The record is from RNAcentral. Lineage: Eukaryota; Metazoa; Chordata; Mammalia; Chiroptera; Pteropodidae.
GUCUACAAACAUGCUACUCUAAACAAACCCGAUCCUGUCUGAUCUCAGAAGCUAAGCAGGGUUUGGCCUACUUAGUACUUGGAUGGGAGACCACCUAGGAAAACCAGAUGCUAUAGGCA